RNAcentral lists this ribosomal RNA (388 nucleotides) under Austropurcellia arcticosa. RNAcentral describes it as "partial 12S ribosomal RNA". Lineage: Eukaryota; Metazoa; Arthropoda; Arachnida; Opiliones; Pettalidae. The record is from RNAcentral.
UAAACUAGGAUUAGAUACCCUAUUAUUUAAAGUGUUUAUUUAUGGAUGAUUUUGUUAAGUUAAUAAAAUUGGCGGUUUCUUUUCUAAUUAGAGGAAUUUGCUUCGUGAGGGAUGAGACGCCUAAAAAUUUACUUUUUUUAUAGGUUUUUAUACCGCUGUUUUAAAGUAAUUUGUUUAUAUUUCUUUGAUAAUUCAUUUUGAGAAAAGGAAAAAUUUUUGCAAUAUGAAUUAAUAAUUCAAGUCGAGGUGAAGCAAUAGAAAAGAGAGAGUGAAUUACAAUAAAUAUUUUUAUUACGGAUUUUAGAGUUAAAGUUUUUUGAAGGUGGAUUUAAAGGUAAAAUUUUUAUGGAAAUUUGAUUGGGGUUUGGAGAAAUGUACAUAUCGCCCG